RNAcentral lists this long non-coding RNA (2081 nucleotides) under Marmota monax (woodchuck). Lineage: Eukaryota; Metazoa; Chordata; Mammalia; Rodentia; Sciuridae. The record is from RNAcentral.
UUUAACAGAUUCUUACAGAAAUCUGACAAGAACUUCCUGAGGAAGAUCAUCAAGGGCCCCCUCUCUUCUGUCCAGGGAAUCUUGUCCUAGUAAAAACUAUAGAUCCAAAUAGGGGCUACAUACUCCCAACUGGGAGGGUCCUUACCCAGUAAUCAUGUCAAACACUUUAGCAAUCCAUGUAGCAGGAUAAGGCCUCUGGAUACAUCAUACCCUCCUUAAUGCCUGGAGACCCCUUGUUGAGUCCACCACAAAGGAGGCUCCUACAGAGAUCACUAUACCUGUAAGCUGAUAGAAUAUCUCAAAUUCCUGUUUAAACAAGUUAAGUGAUAUGUUUGAUUUUACUGGUCUUUUGAUUACAAUAUCAGUGGCUGUACUGCGUGCUAUUGGGUUAAUAGCAAUAGCUCCACAAGACUGAAGUCCUACACAUGAGAUAUUCCUAGCUUUAACCUAUUUAGGCAGAAAACCCUGUUCUGUGUAUUAUUAGUAUAUACUUGAGUCUAGUUCUAACAAAGCCUAAUUAUGACCAUAUGUGCACAGAUAUAUGUUGCAGGAAUCUUUUCUCCUGGACUGUGGUACACACCAGGACUCACAGGAUGCCUUUAACUCCAACAGUAUAGGUAUCAUUUGCUUGGAACUAUGAUACUAAGAUGAGGAUAUAAGAUAAAUUCAUACACAAUAGUAAUAAGAAAUAUGUUUUUGCUACUUGGACUCUUCCACCAACUACUCUUGUGUGAAAGGGACCCUCACCUUUGUGUGCCUUGGCACAGGGAAGGUUGUCUUUCACACUGGACAUUAUGUCAAAUCUCACCUUGUCAUGCUGCAAUGUUUCCUCUUUAUGGCCUCCUCUUCCUGCACAGCACCAUCCUUAUUUAUGUUCCUUAGCCAUCUUUUACUCUGGUAAUCCUAUCUUUAAAAUACUAAUGGGAACAUUACUAUAGACAAACCACAGAUUAUUUUAUAUACUAAUGCUACAGACAUCCACAAUUGUACAAUGUGGGUGGAAUACAUUAUCGUUUUGUCUAAUAUAAAAAACAAAGUACAGCUUCCCCAAAUAGUUAGAGUUCCAAGAUCUUGUGUAAAUGUCACUUAAAAUUAUCAGAAACAUCUACUACACUUUAAUUUGACUUUCCCUAUUUUAAAACAAGGUAAUCAGGAAAAGAGCUUGAUAUGAUACUUUGCUUGAUGGAGCUGGAACUAACUGGUUUGGAUAAUUGACCUUGAGAGCUUGGCUGGCAGACUGUGCAGUGCUGGACAAGAUGUAACUCAAGCUUUGACAAUUAAUGCUCAGUGGCUAACCACAAUGAUCCUGCCUCCAAAAAUGCUCUUGAUUAUGAUAAGCAAUUCCUGACAUUGUCCAAUAAGUCUACUUUUAGCUAAUCUAAAUACAGAUACUAAUGUUAACAUGUUGUUUAACUGGACUGUCUGCUCCUUAAAAAAUAUACUUUAAUACAGAAAGAAAAUGACAAUGACUAUUAACUGCUAGAAAUGAUGUCAUUUUUAGGAAGUUAUUUGCCAUGUAUAUUCCUUUAACCCACUGGAUGACUUUACAGCCACUUCAUAUACAAUGCUCUGAUUUAUUUUGUACUAGGACUAUACAGCAUUAUAAAACCAAAACAACAUAUAUUUUAUGUAAUUUUCAUGCUAUAUCUUUUGUUGUACAUUCCUAAUUUGCUUUGCCUCACUUUAUUGGUACCCAUGUAGAUGAAACCAAGGUGACUUAUUCCUUAUCUGAAUAUGUUAUUUGAGAUCAAGGAUGAGUAUGUUGCUGGUUGAGUAGGCAGAUGGAGCCCUGUCUGCUUAAGCAUUCCUCUAAUAUCUGUGACCUCACUCUGUAUCCUGUGAAUAACUUUUCUCUGUUCUAUGAAGUAACUGUUCAACAUGUAUGCUUAGCAAAUAAUACUCAAUAUGUCUUAAACUUUCUUAAUCAAGUUGCUCCUUUUGCUGGGUGUAUCAAAUACCUUUAAGGUCCUCCCUUGGCUGGGUGAUGUCUUUUAACCUUUCUUUUGACCAAGUAGUUGAUAUUAUUUUAACAUAGACCCCCAAAUCUUUGCAUAUAUAUAUAUACACAUACACAUACAUAU